This 788-nucleotide ribosomal RNA is filed under the name uncultured bacterium. RNAcentral describes it as "bacterial SSU rRNA". It matches the Rfam family "Bacterial small subunit ribosomal RNA", at positions 636 to 1424 of the family's 1533-position model. The record is from RNAcentral.
UNUGACUUGAGUGCAGAAGGGGAGAGUGGAAUUCCAUGUGUAGCGGUGAAAUGCGUAGAUAUAUGGAGGAACACCAGUGGCGAAAGCGGCUCUCUGNUCUGUCACUGACGCUGAGGCUCGAAAGCGUGGGUAGCGAACAGGAUUAGAUACCCUGGUAGUNCACGCCGUAAACGAUGAGUGCUAGGUGUUAGGCCCNUUCCGGGGCUUAGUGCCGGAGCUAACGCAAUAAGCACUCCGCCUGGGGAGUACGACCGCAAGGUUGAAACUCAAAGGAAUUGACGGGGGCCCGCACAAGCGGUGGAGCAUGUGGUUUAAUUCGAAGCAACGCGAAGAACCUUACCAGGUCUUGACAUCCCGAUGCUAUUCUUAGAGAUAGGAAGUUACUUCGGUACAUCGGAGACAGGUGGUGCAUGGUUGUCGUCAGCUCGUGUCGUGAGAUGUUGGGUUAAGUCCCGCAACGAGCGCAACCCUUAUUGUUAGUUGCCAUCAUUAAGUUGGGCACUCUAGCGAGACUGCCGGUAAUAAACCGGAGGAAGGUGGGGAUGACGUCAAAUCAUCAUGCCCCUUAUGACCUGGGCUACACACGUGCUACAAUGGUCGGUACAACGAGUUGCGAGCCGGUGACGGCAAGCUAAUCUCUGAAAGCCGAUCUCAGUUCGGAUUGGAGGCUGCAACUCGCCUCCAUGAAGUCGGAAUCGCUAGUAAUCGCGGAUCAGCACGCCGCGGUGAAUACGUUCCCGGGCCUUGUACACACCGCCCGUCACACCACGAGAGUUUGUAACACCCGA